RNAcentral lists this ribosomal RNA (468 nucleotides) under uncultured bacterium. Its description in RNAcentral is "partial 16S ribosomal RNA". It matches the Rfam family "Bacterial small subunit ribosomal RNA", at positions 28 to 507 of the family's 1533-position model. The record is from RNAcentral.
GACGAACGCUGGCGGCGUGCUUAACACAUGCAAGUCGAACGGAAAGGCCCUGCUUUUGUGGGGUGCUCGAGUGGCGAACGGGUGAGUAACACGUGAGUAACCUGCCCUUGACUUUGGGAUAACUUCAGGAAACUGGGGCUAAUACCGGAUAGGAGCUCCUGCUGCAUGGUGGGGGUUGGAAAGUUUCGGCGGUUGGGGAUGGACUCGCGGCUUAUCAGCUUGUUGGUGGGGUAGUGGCUUACCAAGGCUUUGACGGGUAGCCGGCCUGAGAGGGUGACCGGCCACAGUGGGCCUGGGAUACGGCCCAGACUCCUACGGGAGGCAGCAGUGGGGAAUAUUGCACGAUGGGCGGAAGCCUGAUGCAGCAACGCCGCGUUCUGGAUGACGGCCUUCGGGUUGUAAACCGCUUUCGCCUGUGACGAAGCGUGAGUGACGGUAAUGGGUAAAGAAGCACCGGCUAACUACGUG